UACGUAGGUCCCGAGCGUUGUCCGGAUUUAUUGGGCGUAAAGCGAGCGCAGGUGGUUUAUUAAGUCUGGUGUAAAAGGCAGUGGCUCAACCACUGUAUGCAUUGGAAACUGGUAGACUUGAGUGCAGGAGAGGAGAGUGGAAUUCCAUGUGUAGCGGUGAAAUGCGUAGAUAUAUGGAGGAGCACCGGUGGCGAAAGCGGCUCUCUGGCCUGUAACUGACACUGAGGCUCGAAAGCGUGGGGAGCAAACAGG
RNAcentral lists this ribosomal RNA (252 nucleotides) under uncultured bacterium. RNAcentral's name for it is "partial 16S ribosomal RNA". It matches the Rfam family "Bacterial small subunit ribosomal RNA", at positions 524 to 776 of the family's 1533-position model. The record is from RNAcentral.